GACGAACGCUGGCGGCGUGCCUAACACAUGCAAGUCGAACGGAGCUGCUUUGAAUGAUUCCUUCGGGAUGAUUUUGAUUCAGCUUAGUGGCGGACGGGUGAGUAACGCGUGAGCAACCUGCCUUUCAGUGGGGGACAACAGUUGGAAACGACUGCUAAUACCGCAUAAUAUCCUUUUGGGGCAUCCCUUUUGGAUCAAAGAUUUAUUGCUGAAAGAUGGGCUCGCGUCUGAUUAGCUAGUUGGUGGGGUAACGGCCCACCAAGGCGACGAUCAGUAGCCGGACUGAGAGGUUGAACGGCCACAUUGGGACUGAGAUACGGCCCAGACUCCUACGGGAGGCAGCAGUGGGGAAUAUUGGGCAAUGGGGGAAACCCUGACCCAGCAACGCCGCGUGAGGGAAGAAGGUCUUCGGAUUGUAAACCUCUUUUACCAGGGAAGAAGAAAGUGACGGUACCUGGAGAAAAAGCCACGGCUA
Molecule: ribosomal RNA, 475 nt
Filed under: uncultured bacterium
Lineage: Bacteria
Description: bacterial SSU rRNA
Rfam family: Bacterial small subunit ribosomal RNA
Source: RNAcentral